This is a transfer RNA of 74 nucleotides. It matches the Rfam family "tRNA". Rfam says of the family: Transfer RNA (tRNA) molecules are approximately 80 nucleotides in length. Their secondary structure includes four short double-helical elements and three loops (D, anti-codon, and T loops). The record is from Rfam.
GCGACGGUAGCCCAAUUGGCAGAGGCACAUCACUUAAAAUGAUGAAAGUUCGGGUUCGAAUCCCGAGCGUCGUA